AGCUCCAAUAGCGUAUAUUAAAGUUGUUGCAGUUAAAAAGCUCGUAGUUGAACCUUGAGCCUGGCUGGCCGGUCCGCCUCACCGCGUGCACUGGUCCGGCCGGGUUUUUCCUUCUGGGGAGCCGCAUGCCCUUCACUGGGUGUGUCGGGGAACCAGGACUUUUACUUUGAAAAAAUUAGAGUGUUCAAAGCAGGCCUAUGCUCGAAUACAUUAGCAUGGAAUAAUAGAAUAGGAGGUGUGGUUCUAUUUUGUUGGUUUCUAGGACCGCCGUAAUGAUUAAUAGGGAUAGUCGGGGGCAUCAGUAUUCAAUUGUCAGAGGUGAAAUUCUUGGAUUUAUUGAAGACUAACUACUGCGAAAGCAUUUGCCAAGGAUGUUUUCA
RNAcentral lists this ribosomal RNA (380 nucleotides) under uncultured eukaryote. RNAcentral describes it as "SSU rRNA". It matches the Rfam family "Eukaryotic small subunit ribosomal RNA", at positions 587 to 972 of the family's 1831-position model. The record is from RNAcentral.